RNAcentral lists this non-coding RNA (148 nucleotides) under Pseudopedinella elastica. Lineage: Eukaryota; Dictyochophyceae; Pedinellales. The record is from RNAcentral.
AGUAAAUGAUCGAAAGAUAGAGGGGGGGGGGGGCUAAAAAAAAGAAAAGAAAAGAGAAGAAAUCCGACAAACAUUUUCUGGCUUUUCACGUCUUUUUCUGGCUCUCAAAAACAAUAAUACUACAUUUUCUGUUUUCUACCCCUUCAUA